GCGCAGCAGUCGCGAAUACUUUACAAUGUGCGAAAGCACGAUAAGGGAACUCUGAGUGCCUCCUACGGAGGCUGUUCAGGUGCCUAAAACACACCUGAAGGAAGGGCUGGGUAAGACCGGUGCCAGCCGCCGCGGUAACACCGGCAGCCCAAGUGGUAGCCACUUUUAUUGGGUCUAAAGCGUCCGUAGCCGGCCAGGUAAGUUCCGUGGGAAAUUUGGCCGCUUAACGGUCAAACUACCAGGGAAUACUGCCUGGCUUGGGACGUGGGAGAGGGCGAGAGGUACUCCAGGGGUAGGGGUGGAAAUCCAUUAAUACCCUGGGGGACCGACCGGUAGCGAAGGCGUCUGUCCAGACCAGGUCCGACGGUGAGGGACGAAGGCUAGGGGCGCGAACCGGGAUUAGAUACCCGCGUAGUCCCUGAGAC
Molecule: ribosomal RNA, 425 nt
Filed under: uncultured microorganism
Description: bacterial SSU rRNA
Rfam family: Archaeal small subunit ribosomal RNA
Source: RNAcentral